RNAcentral lists this ribosomal RNA (1218 nucleotides) under metagenome. RNAcentral's name for it is "SSU rRNA". It matches the Rfam family "Eukaryotic small subunit ribosomal RNA", at positions 582 to 1823 of the family's 1831-position model. The record is from RNAcentral.
AUUCCAGCUCCAAUAGCGUAUAUUAAAGUUGUUGCGGUUAAAAAGCUCGUAGUUGGAUCUCGGUUUCACUCAGGCGGUACACCUUGCGGUGUUCACUGUCUGGGCGGACGUUUCUGUUGGUUCGCUGUUGGUUCUCUUAAUCGAGUGCCAAUUGGUGGCCAGCACGUUUACUUUGAAAAAAUUGGAGUGCUCAAAGCAGGCGUUACAGCCUGAACAUUAGUGCAUGGAAUAAUGGAAUAGGAUCUCGAUUCUAUUUCGUUGGCUUUCGGAGUCGAGGUAAUGAUUAAUAGGGACAGACGGGGGCAUUCGUACUGCGACGUUAGAGGUGAAAUUCUUGGAUCGUCGCAAGACGAACUACUGCGAAAGCAUUUGCCAAGAAUGUUUUCAUUAAUCAAGAACGAAAGUUAGAGGUUCGAAGGCGAUCAGAUACCGCCCUAGUUCUAACCAUAAACGAUGCCAACCGGCGAUCCGUCGUCGUUAAUUGAAUGACUCGACGGGCAGCCUCCGGGAAACCAGAGUGUUUGGGUUCCGGGGGAAGUAUGGUUGCAAAGCUGAAACUUAAAGGAAUUGACGGAAGGGCACCACCAGCAGUGGAGCCUGCGGCUUAAUUUGACCCAACACGGGAAAUCUCACCAGGCCCGGACACCGGAAGGAUUGACAGAUUGAGAGCUCUUUCUUGAUUCGGUGGGUGGUGGUGCAUGGCCGUUCUUAGUUGGUGGAGCGAUUUGUCUGGUUAAUUCCGAUAACGAACGAGACUCUGGCCUACUAACUAGAAGGGUCGUUCUUUACGAGCGGCCCUCUGCUUCUUAGAGGGACGGGCGGCGUUUAGCCGCACGAGAAUGAGCAAUAACAGGUCUGUGAUGCCCUUAGAUGUUCUGGGCUGCACGCGCGCUACACUGAAGGAAUCAGCAUGUUCUCCCCUCCCUGAAAAGGGCGGGUAACCCGUUGAAACUCCUUCGUGAUGGGGAUUGGAGAUUGUAAUUAUUCUCCAUGAACGAGGAAUUCCCAGUAGGCGCGAGUCAUCAGCUUGCGUCGAUUACGUCCCUGCCCUUUGUACACACCGCCCGUCGCUACUACCGAUCGAGUGAUUUAGUGAGGACUUCGGACUGGUCUCCAAGUUGGCUUCGGUCAGCUCGGAGUUCCGGAAAGAUGCCCAAACUUGAUCACUUAGAGGAAGUAAAAGUCGUAACAAGGUUUCCGUAGGUGAACCUGCGGAAG